Molecule: ribosomal RNA, 764 nt
Filed under: uncultured bacterium
Lineage: Bacteria
Description: bacterial SSU rRNA
Rfam family: Bacterial small subunit ribosomal RNA
Source: RNAcentral
GUCGAACGGGGUUGAAGAGCUUGCUCCUCGAUUCAGUAGCGCACGGAUGAGUAACGCGUGGAUAACCUGCCCUGGAAUCCGGAAUAACAUCUCGAAAGGGGUGCUAAUACCGAAUAAGCACACAACCCUUCAGAAUCGCGGGAAAAGGCAGCCUCUGAUGCAAACUGCCGUUUCAGGAUGGGUCCGCAUCCUAUCAGCUUGUUGGCAGGGUAAUGGCCUACCAAGGCGACGACGGAUAGCUGGUCUGAAAGGACGGUCAGCCACACUGAAACUGAAACACGGUCCAGACUCCUACGGGAGACAGCAGUAAGGAAUUUUGCACAAUGAACGAAAGCCUAACGCAGCGAUGCCGCAUGAGUGAAGAAGGCCUUCGGAUCAUAAAGCUCUGUCGCAGGAAAAGAAAUGUACGAAUACCAAUACCGCCCGCGCUUGACAGUACCCUGAAAGAAAGCACCGACUAACUCCGUGCCAGCAGCCGCGGUAAUACAAAAAAUGCGAGCGUUGUUCGGAUUUAUUGGGCGUAAAACGCGUGCAGGCGGUUUGUCAAGUCUGAUAUGAAAGCCCCGAGCCCAACCCAAAAAGUACACUAAAAACUGGCAAACUUGAAUACGGGAGAGGAGAGUGGAAUUCCUAAUAUAGGAGUGAAAUCCGUAGAUAUCAAAAGGAAUACCGAUAGCGAAGGCAGCUCUCUGGACCGAUACUGACGCUAAGACACAAAAGCGUGGAUAGCAAACAGGAUUAGAUACCCUAAUAGUCCACACCGU